Molecule: long non-coding RNA, 330 nt
Organism: Ooceraea biroi (clonal raider ant)
Lineage: Eukaryota; Metazoa; Arthropoda; Insecta; Hymenoptera; Formicidae
Source: RefSeq, a predicted model, not a curated record
AAAUCGGAUAAGAUUCGAGACAUCAAAUGAAAAAUUGACGCCGAUGGACACUCAAGAAGUAACACCUGUGUUGAUGAUGUUGCAAGUUCACGGAAAUUUAUCAAUUAACAGGAACACUUAAAGCGAUAUGGACGGUCCACUGACAAAGCGUUGAACCAACUGAUCAUGCAGCCAUAUAGGCGUACACUUAAACAGCAUCCGAUAAAAAAAGUACCUCCACGACUCGCAUCUGAAUAUAAAAGAUGUUCCAUCAGUGAUGUCAAGUUCGCGAACGAUGACUCCUUUCUUCUCCAAUGCUUCAAUAGCAGCUGUUUUUGUCAGUUCUGCUUC